CCCCGACCUGAACGGAGCUCUUUUUAUUUUUUAUGAAAAAUAAAAAAGCGGGAGUGGAGGGCGGAUAAGGUG
RNAcentral lists this unclassified non-coding RNA (72 nucleotides) under Epilithonimonas zeae. Its description in RNAcentral is "Chryseobacterium zeae Flavo-1 RNA". Lineage: Bacteria; Pseudomonadati; Bacteroidota; Flavobacteriia; Flavobacteriales; Weeksellaceae. The record is from RNAcentral.